AUAUAUAUAUAUAUAAGAUACCAGUACUGUAUAUUAGAAAAGAACUGACUCGCAGGUUUUGCCUGAUAGACCUACUUAAAUCUUUUGCUUUAUUCUUUCUGUUGCAUAGAAGUAUAAGUUUAUUACUCUGCUUUAUUGCAAGUUAUUUCACAUGGGAUCUGUGUGCCUGAUAUGAUUGUUGCUUUAAUACCAUAAGCCCACUACACUUUCUAUGAGAGUGGGAUAGUGUAAAUGUGUUGCAUUGUUUGCAUGAUGAGCUCAGUAUUUUUAGAACUGAGACAAAAAGUCACUUCAUUAGUAUUUGAAAGUUAAUUCCCCAUAUGGGAUUAAUUGUAUAGAACACCAAUCAGCACAUCUUCCCUGCCCUGUGUGUUUGUUGCAGCGGAUCCAUACUGUAAAUAUGAUUUUUGUUUGUAAAUAAGAGCAACAUUUACAUUUUCAGCGGUCCAACACAUGCUUCAUUUUGCGCUGUAAACUAACCUUUUUUAUUGCAACAGAUUCCUUUUAAAUGAUCCAGUGUAAUAACUACUGCAUAUGUUUUGUGUCUUCUGUGUCUAACAUUAUAUGUGUUAUGUUCUUUUAAAUUGUGGUAUAUAGCCUGGAUCAGAGAUCAUGGACAAAGGUUUUUACCUGUGUUACUAAGGCUCUUGGAGACUGAC
Molecule: non-coding RNA, 659 nt
Organism: Pelobates cultripes (western spadefoot toad)
Lineage: Eukaryota; Metazoa; Chordata; Amphibia; Anura; Pelobatidae
Source: the annotation of a GenBank genome assembly